Molecule: ribosomal RNA, 253 nt
Filed under: uncultured bacterium
Lineage: Bacteria
Description: partial 16S ribosomal RNA
Rfam family: Bacterial small subunit ribosomal RNA
Source: RNAcentral
UACGGGGGGGGCUAGCGUUGUUCGGAAUUACUGGGCGUGAAGCGCGCGUAGGCGGACCUGCAAGUCGGGGGUGAAAGCCCGAGGCUUAACCUCGGAACUGCCUUCGAUACUGCGGGUCUCGAGUCCGGGAGAGGUGAGUGGAAUUCCUAGUGUAGAGGUGAAAUUCGUAGAUAUUAGGAAGAACACCAGUGGCGAAGGCGGCUCACUGGCCCGGUACUGACGCUGAGGCGCGAAAGCGUGGGGAGCAAACAGG